UACGAAGGGGGCUAGCGUUGCUCGGAAUCACUGGGCGUAAAGCGCACGUAGGCGGCUUUUUAAGUCAGGGGUGAAAUCCUGGAGCUCAACUCCAGAACUGCCUUUGAUACUGGGAGCUCGAGUCCGGGAGAGGUGAGUGGAAUUCCUAGUGUAGAGGUGAAAUUCGUAGAUAUUAGGAAGAACACCAGUGGCGAAGGCGGCUCACUGGCCCGGUACUGACGCUGAGGCACGAAAGCGUGGGGAGCAAACAGG
This 252-nucleotide ribosomal RNA is filed under the name uncultured bacterium. RNAcentral's name for it is "partial 16S ribosomal RNA". It matches the Rfam family "Bacterial small subunit ribosomal RNA", at positions 524 to 776 of the family's 1533-position model. The record is from RNAcentral.